UUCAGGCCAUAUCGAAGCAGGACAAAGGCCAUUUCUUAUGCCUGUUGUCCUGUCAAAAAUUGGCCCAGAGUAAACGCUCCGUCGACGGUCAUUGGAAGCCUUGACAUCCGUGUGGUUUACCAAUAACAUAUUUGGCGGUGUACAAUA
Non-coding RNA from Aedes albopictus (Asian tiger mosquito), 147 nucleotides. Lineage: Eukaryota; Metazoa; Arthropoda; Insecta; Diptera; Culicidae. The record is from Rfam.